GAUAAAGUUUAUCGCAACAGGCUAGAUAAAAUUUGUUGCAUAAAAAGUGGCUACCUACAAACCCCUAUACCUGUGUAAUGUGCCAGAAAACUUGGCUUUAAUCUUUAAGAAGCAGCAGCAGCAGCAACAAGAACAGUGUCAUCUACCUUGUCGGGAUGCCCUUCUUCGAAUCUUCAUUUUAGGAAAUGAAGGCCACGAGUAAUUAAAAGGUGGUGAUUUGCCGGACACCAGAUUCUCAGGCUCUGUAAAAUGGAGAUUUCUCAUCAGUGUCUGCUGAAAAAUUGUAACAGGCGGUUGGGUGUUGAUUUCUUGUCCUCAGAGAGAAAAGGAAACUAAAAGGGAAUGUAAAUCAAUUUCUUCCCCCCAAAAUGUGGCCUUGAGUAGGUUCUUAAUAUGUAUUUUCUUGCAAGCCAACAAGCCGGAGAACUGACUGAUAAAUAGGGCUGGAAUGGCAGUAUUAUUAGUACUAGGCAACCUGUAAACAAGCUCAGGAGCGUUCACAGGAUAUCCUGGGGAAAAAAAUGAGCAUUAAAUAAAUAAAUGCACUUGA
This is a long non-coding RNA of Trichosurus vulpecula (common brushtail), 550 nucleotides long. RefSeq lists it as uncharacterized. The record is from RefSeq and is a predicted model, not a curated record. Lineage: Eukaryota; Metazoa; Chordata; Mammalia; Diprotodontia; Phalangeridae. The transcript has 2 exons.